RNAcentral lists this ribosomal RNA (482 nucleotides) under uncultured bacterium. Its description in RNAcentral is "partial 16S ribosomal RNA". It matches the Rfam family "Bacterial small subunit ribosomal RNA", at positions 30 to 507 of the family's 1533-position model. The record is from RNAcentral.
AUUGAACGCUGGCGGCAUGCCUUACACAUGCAAGUCAAACGGUAACAGGUCUUCGGAUGCUGACGAGUGGCGAACGGGUGAGUAAUACAUCGGAACGUGCCCGAUCGUGGGGGAUAACGAGGCGAAAGCUUUGCUAAUACCGCAUACGAUCUACGGAUGAAAGCGGGGGAUCUUCGGACCUCGCGCGGACGGAGCGGCCGAUGGCAGAUUAGGUAGUUGGUGGGAUAAAAGCUUACCAAGCCGACGAUCUGUAGCUGGUCUGAGAGGAUGAUCAGCCACACUGGGACUGAGACACGGCCCAGACUCCUACGGGAGGCAGCAGUGGGGAAUUUUGGACAAUAGGCGAAAGCCUGAUCCAGCCAUGCCGCGUGCAGGAUGAAGGCCUUCGGGUUGUAAACUGCUUUUGUACGGAACGAAAAGCCUCUUUCUAAUAAAGAGGGGUCAUGACGGUACCGGAAGAAUAAGCACCGGCUAACUACGUG